UCAAACUUGGUCAUUUAGAGGAAGUAAAAGUCGUAACAAGGUUUCCGUAGGUGAACCUGCGGAAGGAUCAUUAACAAAAUCUACCUUUAACCAUGUUGCAAUGUUAGACAAAUUUUUGAAGGUUGAAAAAUGAGAAUCUAUGGAUUUCAUUUUUCAUUUUCUAAUUUUGUCAUCCUUCCCUUACAUAAAAAUAUAAAGGAUGUUUGUUUUUAAACAUUUUUUUUUUUUGUAAGGGAAAGUAAAUAAACUAUUUUAUUUAAGACUUUGUUAUUUGAAAAAUAAUAAUGUUUUAACAACUUUUAACAAUGGAUCUCUUGGCUCUUGCAUCGAUGAAGAACGCAGC
RNAcentral lists this unclassified non-coding RNA (343 nucleotides) under uncultured fungus. Its description in RNAcentral is "partial contains small subunit ribosomal RNA, internal transcribed spacer 1, and 5.8S ribosomal RNA". The stretch from base 1 to 73 matches the Rfam family "Eukaryotic small subunit ribosomal RNA", at positions 1759 to 1831 of the family's 1831-position model. The record is from RNAcentral. Lineage: Eukaryota; Fungi.